Microtus ochrogaster (prairie vole) is the source of this 491-nucleotide long non-coding RNA. RefSeq lists it as uncharacterized. Lineage: Eukaryota; Metazoa; Chordata; Mammalia; Rodentia; Cricetidae. The transcript has 3 exons. The record is from RefSeq and is a predicted model, not a curated record.
GGAUGGACGUAGGCUAGAAUCAUCCUGUCCCAGGAGAUUUGCUGUCCUCUUCUGACUUUCUAGAGCAUCAGGGAAGCACAUACAGUCCAGCAUCACUGAGGCAACACCUUCUGGGAAGUGUUCAUCAGUGUCAGCACCCAGAAGCUGUGGUCCAGCUGUGGCCAGGGUAGCCUGACGACCAGGACAGUGACGGCGGAAGACAAAGGGACACGGGAAAGGUGGUCAGGAGAUGAGAGGAGUAGAAGAGGAAGAACCCAUUAGCCAAAGGUACGAUUCUAAGAGUGAGCUGAAGGUUAAAACUUGGGUGUUAUGAUAGAGUAACCAAGGAGAGAGGGGCAAGAGGGAAUUAGGGUAGGCCGUGGAGAUAAGCCAACCAAAGCCUCAUGCAACUGCCAAUCUGAUAGUCCUCACAUAUCACACAGAGCUUCCCAAAGCCUUUGUUUCCUAGAAAUAUACAACCAAGGAAGAAAAAAAACUAAUAAAAAUAAAGA